AGUGCAUCAGAAGGGACAGUACACACCAUCUUUCAUUCCCACCAUUCUUUGUGAAGAGGAAUCCAAAUGUUCUUUGGCCUGAGUUCUUAUGGGUGCCUUGAGCCAUCCUAGGAGGCAUCCCAAGUAACAACAUUAAGAACGUAUAAAUGUUUGAACUGUGCAGACUUCUUGUUGUGAGAAAAAAAGCCUGCAGCCAAUGAGAUAGAAAUGGAGAGAAGGGCAAUAGCAGCUUGCACAUGUCAAGGAUCUGCAGCGCAUGAAACCCCUGAAGAUGAUGGAGGGUCCCUGAUGCAAUUUCCUGAAGCCAAGAGAUGUCAGCACUCGCAGUCAGCCGCUUUAUCAUCCAUUGCUCCAUUAACCUCAUCCACCUGGUCAACACAAUUCAAACAUACCAGAUACAGACUCAGUUAAAACAGAUAUGGGUGCAAGUCAUGACACUUUUACAGAUUAAAGAUGUCCGAGAUUCACGAUGAAUGCUGUUUGAAGAAGAAUGAACAGAAUCACAUUUUAAUUUAAUCUCACUGCCAAUGUGGACUUAAAGAGGACAGGCUCUGUUAUGACAACUGUAUUUUUAAGUAACAGAGAUAAGGGUGUUAAGGGAAUCAUUUCAAUAAAAUAUGGGAGUACCGGUACAUACCAGUUUGAUAUCUUGAUUAGACUGGGAAUUUAACAAAAAUGGUAGAUAUUGGACCUCUCUAAUAUACAUUUAUAAACAUCUCAUGUCUUAAGUCAAUAACAAAGCUGUAAUAAGGCGAUAUUUAGUGUAAUUAACACUUAGGGCUAUUCUUCUAAAACAUAUAACCACCGGGUUUGGCAGAUUUUUAAUAAUAUAUGGGUGGGCUUUUUUGCUAAUUUGCACCCCAAAAGGCACAUUUGCUUUUGUAUGGGGUUGGCAUAAAAACUUAAUAAAUGUCUUCCCUCCAGUGGUUAUAUUUUUAAAUGGAAUAGCCCUUAUCAACAUUUUUAGCUGGACUAUUUGAAUAAUAAGGAGAGCUAUACCACUCGCCUCAGCAUCUGCUUUGGCUUUAGCGUCCGGUUAAAGUUUAAGACCAAGUUGGGAUUUUCACUCAUAACUGCAAAACCCUUCAUUAAAGUCACUUAAUACUCCAUACAGUUGUUCAGGGUCAUUACAUAAUGAGGUUAAUACUUCAAUAGCCUUCAUUCAAUGGACUUAAUACCUUGCACAAUUAAUGAUGAACAUCUUGCAAUAAGGUGACAUAACUCCAUUUUAACCCUAAAUACAAAUUAUUGCCCUUUUUUCAUUUUUAUUUCUUAUGUCAGGCAUAUUUAUAUAUUCUUAACAGGUUUUUUGAAAGCUAAUUGUUUGGGCGGUAUAUAUAUAUAUGUGACAAGUUAAUGGAGAGCUUUCAUUUGAAUGCCUUGGGCCCCUUAGGGUCAAUGUCACUGUUACUAAAAAAAUAUUACUUUUUGGUACUGAAUAACCUAAGUUAUGGUUGAUAUACUGUGACCAAACUUGAUAUAUAGGAAGAGUUUAUUGAGAACUUUCAUGAGAUUGUGUUUUGGGCGCAUAGGAUCUAGGUCACUGUUACAAAAAUAGAAGACAGCAGUUGAAACUUCUUCUGCCAAUCAUUAACAAAACAAGUAUUGUCACAUCACGAUUCUUGUUUACUUUUUAAAUUGAUUUUUCUAUUGCUUUUGACAAGCACAUAUUACAUCAUUAUGUAAGAAGAUACAUUGUUAAAAAUACAAAAAAUGUUAAUUUGAAUAAGAGUGUCACUUCUUUUAAAUUUGUAGCUGUUUACUUACCAUGAAUUUAUCUUUAAAUACAACUUGUAUUUUUUAUGUGUAGGGUACGAGUUGGACCAUUUUGAGAGAUUGUUUUAAAUAGCAUAUGCUAAAACAUACUGUGACUGUUGUUGCUGCCUUUUCAGGGCUCUCACUAGGCUGAAAAUUUUGGGAGAAGUGACUUCUCCCUUCAGUCAAUUUAGGGAGAAGUGGGGAGACUUUAGGGAGAAGUGAUGCUUUUUAUAACACCUGAUACAAAAACUAUGCCAUACCACACACCUCAGUUUAUAUUCACAUUCAAAUUGAUUGCUAUAACUAUAUAAAAUGUUCAUAAAAUAAUGUAUCAUUUUUAGCUCAGCAAGUGUAUUUGUCAAUGUCACAUAGUUUAUCUCCAAAUAGCAUCUAAAAUGAACCAAAAAAUACAUCUAAGGAUUUGAAAUAAUCAUAAUGACCUCAUAAAUGAACUGUCAAUAAAGUAGGUGGACGAAUCUUGUUUUGGUAUGUUCGGGGAUAGGGUACGAAUGUCACAUUCAGCUGUGCUGUUAUUUACUUGUUUCUGGCUAAAUAAUUUUAAAUAUGCUGACAUUUAAGAACCAAAUGACAUUUAAAUCAGUGUCCUUGAUGAAAAAUUUACCAAUACAUAAUGGGAAGUUGAAAAAUUAACUCGGAAAAUUGUUCUGACAAAAUGGCGAUCUCGCCGAUUUUUUUUUGACAUCGUAACUGUGACAGGAGAAAAUUACUGUAAGUAAACUCUACAUAAAGCAAAAAAAUAAUAUUUUUUUGUGUUUACAAAUCAUUUUUUAUCAUGAACAUUUCACUAAAACCAAUCAAAUAUUUGGUGAUACGUCAUGUUAUUGAUUUUCUUAGCGCCUACUUGCCGAUGGCCCGAGAUGGCUAUGACCGUCUGCUUCAAAAGCAACAAUGUUUAAAUGUCUUGCAUUGUUUGUUCAAUACAUAUAUUAAUUACUUUUUAACUUAAAUUAAUGCUUGACACAAUAUUUCAUAAUUAUGUCUCCAAUUCUAUCUCAUUUUAACGAACUUAUAUCAUUUGAUCAGGGUCUUCUGAAUGUACAUUCUGAUUGGUUAACUUUCAAUAGCUCCGCCUACUGGCGAUGUUUUGGUAAUUGGAUGACACGGCCCAAUUAUCGGAUUAGGAGAUUACCAAUUUGUAUGAAUGGCUUAUUGUGAUGGUUUGACUAAUGGGACAUUGGCCAAAUACUCGCUGAUUGACAGAUUUACAAUGUGCUAAAAUUUUCGGCGAAGUCAAUGUCGCUUUGAUGAUACAAAUGGGCGAAGUCUGGGAAUUUUAGGCGACCACUUCGCCCAAGUAGCCCCCUCGCGAGAGCCCUGCUUUUGAUUUUAUGAAAAGUAUUGCUUUAUUAUUUUUUUAAAUUCAAUAUUCUUAAGCUCCUUCUAAUUCUUGUCGGGUAAUUUUUAAAUCAAAUUAAUUGUUAAAGUGACACUCUUAUUCAAAAUCAAUGCAUACACAUGUAUAACAAACAUACAUUUUGAGUGAUAAACCUUUAACUACUUACUAAAUAAUGCAUUGAUGGAACAUAUUUAUUACUGGUAACAAGUUUGUAACCCUGUAUUUAAUAACAGAAAACGCAAAAAUAUUAAAUGAUUGGUGAAUGCUAAAAGAUUUACUGUGAUCUACUUUAAUAGUCUCAUAAUGUAGAUACACCAUGUUUCAUGCACAUUUCUUUCAAAUCAAACUCGGUAUCCUUCAUGAGAACCAUUGCUUUCAACAUUCAUUCAUCCUUUUCGCAAUAUUAAAACAAUAGUAUUAGUAGUGGUAAACCUUUUUGGGAGUAAGAGUGCAUCUUUAAAAAAUGUGUUUAAUGUGGAUAUAUUAUGAUCUGUGUGUCUUUGCAUGGAUGCACUUGCUAGUAUUGCCUAAGAAUUUGACCUCUGAUAUUUUAUGUAGUAGUUAGAUGAUAUGAAGUAAAUUCUGUCAGAGUUAGUGGAACUAAUGAUCCAUUCUUAAUCAUUGAAAUGUACUAAAAGGGCAUCUCACAGUCUUAUGUCUUUGUAUGCCUUUGAGGUUAUGUCUCCACAAAUCUUUAUCAUGGCCUGACAGUCUGCUUUCUUUAAUUUGUGUCUUUGUAUUAAAAAUAUGUAUUAUUUUUUGAUACAUAUUUUAUUUAUAGUACUGCAUUUAUCUCCUAUCGAUUUUCAUGUUUUAUGUAACUUGAAACUUCCAUUAAGUUGUAAAAACAUUAAAUCUGUGAGAGUGUAGCUUUAAGAGAAGCAUUAGUGAUUUUAGCAUCAAACUUGUUUUAUAUGUUCUUUUUAAGUUCUAGGUUAUUCUGUAAUCAUUAACCAUAAUUGUGCCAUAGAUAGACCUGUGGAAAUUAUUAUAAUCUACUAUGUUAUAUUAUUGAAUAAAAUACUGAACAUGUUA
This is a long non-coding RNA of Mya arenaria, 4150 nucleotides long. RefSeq lists it as uncharacterized. The transcript is spliced from 6 exons. The record is from RefSeq and is a predicted model, not a curated record. Lineage: Eukaryota; Metazoa; Mollusca; Bivalvia; Myida; Myidae.